GACCGCGUAGCUCAGUUGGCAGAGCAUUGGCUCGUAUUCCAAAGGUCGUAGGUUCGAUUCCCACCGUGGCCG
This is a non-coding RNA of Paramuricea clavata, 72 nucleotides long. The record is from the annotation of a GenBank genome assembly. NCBI's taxonomy places the organism in Eukaryota, Metazoa, Cnidaria, Anthozoa, Malacalcyonacea, Plexauridae.